This is a long non-coding RNA of Neofelis nebulosa (Clouded leopard), 582 nucleotides long. RefSeq lists it as uncharacterized. The transcript has 4 exons. The record is from RefSeq and is a predicted model, not a curated record. Lineage: Eukaryota; Metazoa; Chordata; Mammalia; Carnivora; Felidae.
CACGCCUUUUAAAGGAGUCGACGGUUCCGCGCCAGCUCUUGGCCUCUGGCCGCCCUUGGACGCCUAAGGCAUAUCAGGGAAGUUCCAGAGGAACAAACCCACUCCCGUCCUAUUGAGCCUAAGUUCCUGAAAGAUCAUCUAGUCCAACUAGACUUCACCAGGCACAUGAAUCACCCAAGAAGCUUGUUAAACUGCAAAGCCUGAUUCAGAAGAGCUGGCUGUGUCUCGAGGUUCCGCAUGUCUCAUGGACUCCCAGGUGGGAAGUCCUCCAAUGUACACAAGCCUAAGGGCCCACAAAAGGUGGAUCUGCUGUGGCCUGAGGAGCGGCACUGACUCACACCCUGGAGACCACACCAGAACUCCUGUCCCUCCUGCCCUCCCGUGGGAAUUUCUAGGAAGACAAGCACGUCAUCUGCAAAUAGCCAUGUGGUCAAUUCCUUGCCAAUAUUUAUCCUUCUGUACCAGUCAGAAGUUCUGUUUGCAAACAACAGAAACCGGCUCUACUUAAACUAACAUGGGAAGGUUAUUGGGAGAGUCAAACUCGGAGCAGCCAAAAUAACCAAUAAAGUCCUAUUACAGUUC